Molecule: ribosomal RNA, 726 nt
Filed under: uncultured bacterium
Lineage: Bacteria
Description: bacterial SSU rRNA
Rfam family: Bacterial small subunit ribosomal RNA
Source: RNAcentral
AGUCGAACGAGAAAUCGGGCACUCAGGCAACUGAGUGCCGGAGAGUAAAGUGGCGCACGGGUGAGUAACACGUGGGUAACCUACCCCCGAAUCCGGGAUAACCUCGCGAAAGCGUUGCUAAUACCGGAUAUUGUCCUUUUGGUUGUGACCUUUGGGAUGAAAGGCAACCUCUUCAUGAAAGUUGUCGUUCAGGGAUGGGCCCGCGUACCAUUAGCUUGUUGGUGGGGUAACGGCUCACCAAGGCUAGGAUGGUUAGCUGGUCUGAGAGGAUGAUCAGCCACACUGGAACUGAAACACGGUCCAGACUCCUACGGGAGGCAGCAGUGAGGAAUUUUGCGCAAUGGGGGAAACCCUGACGCAGCAACGCCGCGUGAGUGAAGAAGGCUUUCGGGUCGUAAAGCUCUGUCAAGUGGGAAAAAAGUCUGAUGAUUAAUAGUUGUCAGAUCUGAUGGUACCACUGGAGGAAGCACCGGCUAACUCCGUGCCAGCAGCCGCGGUAAUACGGAGGGUGCAAGCGUUGUUCGGAAUUACUGGGCGUAAAGGGCGUGCAGGCGGGUUGGUAAGUCAGAUGUGAAAGCCCUGGGCUUAACCCAGGAAGUGCAUUUGAAACUGCCAUCCUAGAGUAUGGGAGAGGAGAGUGGAAUUCCCAAUGUAGAGGUGAAAUUCGUAGAUAUUGGGAGGAACACCCGUGGCGAAGGCGACUCUCUGGACCAAUACUGACGCUGA